UAAUACGUAGGGGGCAAGCGUUAUCCGGAAUUAUUGGGCGUAAAGAGUGCGUAGGUGGUUUUGUAAGCGCGGGGUGAAAGGCUAUGGCUUAACCAUAGUAAGCCUUGCGAACUGUGAGACUUGAGUGCAGGAGAGGAAAGCGGAAUUCCUAGUGUAGCGGUGAAAUGCGUAGAUAUUAGGAGGAACACCAGUGGCGAAGGCGGCUUUCUGGACUGUAACUGACACUGAGGCACGAAAGCGUGGGGAGCAAACAGG
This 255-nucleotide ribosomal RNA is filed under the name uncultured bacterium. Its description in RNAcentral is "partial 16S ribosomal RNA". It matches the Rfam family "Bacterial small subunit ribosomal RNA", at positions 521 to 776 of the family's 1533-position model. The record is from RNAcentral.